Molecule: ribosomal RNA, 546 nt
Filed under: Gloeotinia temulenta
Lineage: Eukaryota; Fungi; Ascomycota; Leotiomycetes; Helotiales
Description: eukaryotic LSU rRNA
Rfam family: 5.8S ribosomal RNA (bases 129-282)
Source: RNAcentral
CUCCCAACCCUAUGUGAACUUACCACUUGUUGCUUCGGCGCGCGCUUCGGCGCCGCCGAGGACACUUAAACUCUUUGUUUUUAUAAGCAUUUCUGAGUGGCCGAAAGGCAAAAAUACAAAUGAAUCAAAACUUUCAACAACGGAUCUCUUGGUUCUGGCAUCGAUGAAGAACGCAGCGAAAUGCGAUAAGUAAUGUGAAUUGCAGAAUUCAGUGAAUCAUCGAAUCUUUGAACGCACAUUGCGCCCGCCAGCAUUCUGGCGGGCAUGCCUGUUCGAGCGUCAUUUCAACCCUCGAGCCCGACUCUUUUGAGGACGGCUCGGCGUUGGGGGACGGCAGACUCCCCCCGGCAUCUCGCCGGGGACGCCGCCCCCGAAAUCUAGUGGCGGCCCUCCGAGGCGACCUCUGCGUAGUAACUUGUUCUCGCACCGGAAAGCUCAGAGCGGCCACGCCGUAAAACCCCAACUUUUUUCAGGUUGACCUCGAAUCAGGUAGGACUACCCGCUGAACUUAAGCAUAUCAAUAAGCGAGGGAAAAAGAAAAGAUUU